UGAAAAGCUUAGAAGGUGUUUACAGGGAUUUAUUUUCCGUCAGAGAGAGGAAGCCAUCGGCUGGAAGCUGCCUCAGGUUCAGAUAUUUCCUGAAUUUCCCACCGGAGCCGCAUUUCUGAAUGACAGUAUUUACUGAGUAGGAAAUGACGUUACUGCGCGUUAAGCAGACCGAGAGCCUGUAGAAAAUGCAGGAAGCAGGGUGGUACCGCGGAUAUUUUACUCCGUCCCUUUA
Molecule: non-coding RNA, 232 nt
Organism: Ruminococcus sp. CAG:9-related_41_34
Lineage: Bacteria; Bacillati; Bacillota; Clostridia; Eubacteriales; Oscillospiraceae
Source: Rfam